This 570-nucleotide ribosomal RNA is filed under the name Triticum aestivum (bread wheat). Its description in RNAcentral is "partial small subunit ribosomal RNA". Lineage: Eukaryota; Viridiplantae; Streptophyta; Magnoliopsida; Poales; Poaceae. The record is from RNAcentral.
AUGGCUGUGGACCGUGUUACGUUUGAAGUUGAGCUGAAAAUAAGGUAUCGUGGAGCGGAUCAGCGUCAAGAAAAAGCAUCGCUCACUUGCAGCUACAGUUACGGGUCUGCGAGGGAUACCACCCCUCUAUUCAACGGAUAUUGUUGUGCGGCACGGUUAACACUUGAACAACUUCGUAGAGCAAUCCAGGCAACUGUCGUCGGCGUUCGAGUUGUUGAAGGGGGUUGGCCUUUCAAAUAUGGAUGUCGAGUUUCUUGUUCCUUCUCUGCUGAUGCAGAGGAUCCCUCACCUUGGGAAGUUGUGUUGCUUAAUUGUCGUCAUGAUGAAAUCCCCGUGGGAUCAGACGGUUACUUUCGCCUGUCAAGGAAUGUUGUGUCAGCCGAAUUACAAUCAACAAUGAAAGUUAUCAUACAAGCACACUCGAGAUGUGGUCACAAAGUUCCAAAGGGUCAUGUCGAUUUCCCCGUCCAACAUUGCCAAACAAGCAAGGGCUCAUGUUUAGUAGGCAACUCUAGGGUCGAGGUCGUUGUUGCUUGGUCCCUCAUUGUCACGAACAAGAUAGAUCUCAUG